AGGGGAAUAGCUGGGUACAAUUGUGGUUCGAUUCCCAGCUUUCCAAGGAAUCUCCAUACUGCUUUCCAAAUUGGCUACACCAAUUUGCAGUCCCACUAGCAAU
Molecule: microRNA precursor, 103 nt
Filed under: Marmota monax (woodchuck)
Lineage: Eukaryota; Metazoa; Chordata; Mammalia; Rodentia; Sciuridae
Source: RNAcentral